This 353-nucleotide ribosomal RNA is filed under the name Eukaryota sp. RNAcentral's name for it is "SSU rRNA". It matches the Rfam family "Eukaryotic small subunit ribosomal RNA", at positions 1324 to 1698 of the family's 1831-position model. The record is from RNAcentral.
ACCGUUAACGAACGAGACCUUAACCUGCUAAAUAGUUACGUUAACUUUGGUUGACGGCUAACUUCUUAGAGGGACUGUGGAUGUUUAAUCCACGGAAGUUUGAGGCAAUAACAGGUCUGUGAUGCCCUUAGAUGUUCUGGGCCGCACGCGCGCUACACUGAUCAAGUCAACGAGUUUACAACCUUGGCCGGAAGGUCUGGGUAAUCUUUUGAAACUUGAUCGUGCUGGGGAUAGUCCAUUGCAAUUAUUGGACUUCAACGAGGAAUUCCUAGUAAGCGUGAGUCAUCAGCUCGCGUUGAUUACGUCCCUGCCCUUUGUACACACCGCCCGUCGCUAGUACCGAUUGAAUGAUG